Molecule: ribosomal RNA, 375 nt
Filed under: uncultured bacterium
Lineage: Bacteria
Description: bacterial SSU rRNA
Rfam family: Bacterial small subunit ribosomal RNA
Source: RNAcentral
UAAUACGUAGGGUGCGAGCGUUAAUCGGAAUUACUGGGCGUAAAGCGUGCGCAGGCGGUUGUGCAAGACAGAGGUGAAAUCCCCGGGCUUAACCUGGGAAUGGCCUUUGUGACUGCACGGCUAGAGUGUGUCAGAGGGGGGUAGAAUUCCACGUGUAGCAGUGAAAUGCGUAGAGAUGUGGAGGAAUACCGAUGGCGAAGGCAGCCCCCUGGGAUAACACUGACGCUCAGGCACGAAAGCGUGGGGAGCAAACAGGAUUAGAUACCCUGGUAGUCCACGCCCUAAACGAUGUCAACUAGUUGUCGGGUCUUAAUUGACUUGGUAACGCAGCUAACGCGUGAAGUUGACCGCCUGGGGAGUACGGUCGCAAGAUUA